CUGGUGAGAGCUGCUGUCAAACUCCUUUGCAAGGCUGGGGGCAGGCGGUGUCCUGUGUGCUCAGGACACGUGGGGUCUGGCCCCACUGUGGCCGGACCCCGAGCUCCUGCGAGUCUGGCGGCUGCAUCCUCCUAUGCCCCCAGCCCAGAAGCUGAGGUUCCAGAAGCUCCCCAGGCCUCGUCGAGGUCCAGGCAGAGGAACAGGAUUAGGAUUGAGCCCCGAGGCCCCAGACCUCAGCUUCCUGCACAAACCACAUGACCUGGGGGGUUGAGGGGCUCGAGUCAAGACCCGCAGCAGAUCAGGAAAAGGCCUCGUGCUGUCUGGUUCUGAGCAGACUCGCUGGAGGUGAAUCAGAGCUCUGGAAAUUACUCCUUAAGUUGCGGUCUUCGGUCUCCGUUGCCUGACACUCGUAAAGUUAGUUUUACAAGCAGCCUAAACUC
Molecule: long non-coding RNA, 440 nt
Filed under: Sus scrofa (pig)
Lineage: Eukaryota; Metazoa; Chordata; Mammalia; Artiodactyla; Suidae
Description: lncRNA (ENSSSCG00025019578.1)
Source: RNAcentral